Molecule: ribosomal RNA, 482 nt
Filed under: uncultured bacterium
Lineage: Bacteria
Description: partial 16S ribosomal RNA
Rfam family: Bacterial small subunit ribosomal RNA
Source: RNAcentral
GAUGAACGCUGGCGGCGUGCUUAACACAUGCAAGUCGAACGAUGAAGGGAGCUUGCUCCUGGAUUAGUGGCGAACGGGUGAGUAACACGUGAGUAACCUGCCCUUGACUCUGGGAUAAGCCUGGGAAACUGGGUCUAAUACCGGAUAUGACUGACCGUCGCAUGGUGGUUGGUGGAAAGCUUUCGUGGUUUUGGAUGGACUCGCGGCCUAUCAGCUUGUUGGUGGGGUAAUGGCCUACCAAGGCGACGACGGGUAGCCGGCCUGAGGGGGUGACCGGCCACACUGGGACUGGGCCACGGCCCCGACUCCUACGGGAGGCAGCAGUGGGGAAUAUUGCACAAUGGGCGCAAGCCUGAUGCAGCAACGCCGCGUGCGGGAUGACGGCCUUCGGGUUGCAAACCGCUUUUAGUAGGGAAGAAGCCUUCGGGUGACGGUACCUGCAGAAAAAGGACCGGCUAACUACGUGCCAGCCGCCGCGGUAA